This 325-nucleotide ribosomal RNA is filed under the name Thrinax paucipunctata. RNAcentral describes it as "partial 12S ribosomal RNA". Lineage: Eukaryota; Metazoa; Arthropoda; Insecta; Hymenoptera; Tenthredinidae. The record is from RNAcentral.
AAUAAUAGUUAUAGUCUUUAAACUUAAAAAAAUUGGCGGUAUUUAAAACUAAUUAGGGGAAUUUGUUUAUUAAAUGAUAAUCCGCAAGAGACCUUACUUUAAUUUAUUUAAUUUAUUUAUUGCCGUUAUCAGAAUAUUUUUUAAGAAGUUAAAUUUUCUAGAAUUUUUAGAAAAACUUAUUUCAGGUCAUUAUGUAGUUUAUAUUAAAGUUUUGAUGAAUUACAAUAAAUUUUAUUUAUUAUGAAUAUUAAAUUGAAAUAUUUAAUUGAAAGUGGACUUAAUAGUAAAUUUUAAAUAUUAUGUUAUAUUGAAUUAAGAAUUAAAU